Molecule: transfer RNA, 76 nt
Filed under: Rubrivirga litoralis
Lineage: Bacteria; Pseudomonadati; Rhodothermota; Rhodothermia; Rhodothermales; Rubricoccaceae
Also listed under: 2 other names
Description: tRNA-Glu
Rfam family: tRNA
About the family: Transfer RNA (tRNA) molecules are approximately 80 nucleotides in length. Their secondary structure includes four short double-helical elements and three loops (D, anti-codon, and T loops). Further hydrogen bonds mediate the characteristic L-shaped molecular structure. tRNAs have two regions of fundamental functional importance: the anti-codon, which is responsible for specific mRNA codon recognition, and the 3' end, to which the tRNAs corresponding amino acid is attached (by aminoacyl-tRNA synthetases). tRNAs cope with the degeneracy of the genetic code in two manners: having more than one tRNA (with a specific anti-codon) for a particular amino acid; and 'wobble' base-pairing, i.e. permitting non-standard base-pairing at the 3rd anti-codon position.
Source: RNAcentral
GCCGCGUUCGUCUAGAGGCCUAGGACGCUGCCCUCUCACGGCGGUAACACGGGUUCGAAUCCCGUACGCGGUACCA